GAUGAACGCUGGCGGCGUGCCUUAAGCAUGCAAGUCGAACGAUUUCAGUAGCAAUAUUGUUUUAGUGGCAGACGGGUGAGUAAUAUAUAGGAAUCUACCUCUACGUGGGGGAUAGCUCGCCGAAAGGCGGGGUAAUACCGCAUAUGGCCUACGGGUCAAAGUCCUUCACCGGACGCGAAGAGAGGAGCCUGUAUCCUAUCAGCUAGUUGGUGAGGUAAUGGCUCACCAAGGCUACGACGGGUAGGGGGUGUGAGAGCACGACCCCCCACAAGGACACUGAGACACGGGUCCUACACCUACGGGUGGCAGCAACUGGGAAUCUUGCGCAAUGGACGAAAGUCUGACGCAGCGACGCCGCGUGUGGGAAGAAGGCCUUCGGGUCGUAAACCACUGUGGAGGGGGAAUAAAAAAAUGAAGGUACCCCUCUAGAAAGCACCUGCUAACUACGUGCCAGAAGCCUCGGUAAUACGUAGGGUGCAAGCGUUAUCCGGAUUUAUUGGGCGUAAAGCGUUCUGUAGGCGGUUUUGUAAGUACAUGGUUAAAGGCUUUGGCUCAACCAAAGACAUGCUGUGUAUACUGCGAGACUAGAUGGUUAUCGGGAGUAUCGGAAUUCUUGGUGGAGGGGUGAAAUCCGUUGAUAUCAAGAGGAACACCAAAGGCGAAGGCAGAUACUUAGGUAAUUCAUGACGCUGAUAGACGACAGCUAGGGGAGCGAAAGGGAUUAGAGACCCCUGUAGUCCUAGCCGUAAACGAUGGACACUAGCUGAUCGGAUUUUUCUGGUCGGCGUAAGCUAACGCGUUAAGUGUCCCGCCUGGGAAGUACGGCCGCAAGGCUA
This 836-nucleotide ribosomal RNA is filed under the name uncultured bacterium. RNAcentral describes it as "bacterial SSU rRNA". It matches the Rfam family "Bacterial small subunit ribosomal RNA", at positions 28 to 896 of the family's 1533-position model. The record is from RNAcentral.